Lates calcarifer (barramundi perch) is the source of this 318-nucleotide RNA transcript. RefSeq lists it as uncharacterized. The transcript is spliced from 3 exons. Lineage: Eukaryota; Metazoa; Chordata; Actinopteri; Centropomidae. The record is from RefSeq and is a predicted model, not a curated record.
AUGAAGAAUUGUAUUAAUGUCAUGUGAAGAGUUCAGUGACGUAUGGAUUGAUAGAUGGUAUGUAACUGUGGGUGAUAUACAUUUAAUACUCUGAGGACAAAGUGAAGGAGUCACUGUUAACAUGGCUCUCCACCAGUUUCUGUGUGGCUUCACUGUGGUGAUCAUUCUCUUAUCCAAAGGUUGUCAGUCACAGGACUGCGGCAAAGCUCCCAAAAACACUGGAAUUUGGGAGGUGGAGAUGCCUCCCCAGGAAGUUGGCCCUGGCAGGCCGAAUUGAGAGAAGAUGGUAAAUACAUCUGUGUGGGGUCACUGAUUAAC